UCCGCCGAGGGGCGCUGCGACCAGGGGCCGUUCCCAGAACGCCACGGGCCAGGCUCGGUGGGACGGUCCUUCGAAACGGCGCCCGGCAACG
This 91-nucleotide non-coding RNA is filed under the name Stenotrophomonas panacihumi. Its description in RNAcentral is "SAH sequence". It matches the Rfam family "SAH (S-adenosyl-L-homocysteine) riboswitch aptamer". Lineage: Bacteria; Pseudomonadati; Pseudomonadota; Gammaproteobacteria; Lysobacterales; Lysobacteraceae. The record is from Rfam by way of RNAcentral.